This 2493-nucleotide long non-coding RNA is filed under the name Hordeum vulgare. Its description in RNAcentral is "long non-coding RNA (HVUL_LNC014065)". The record is from RNAcentral. Lineage: Eukaryota; Viridiplantae; Streptophyta; Magnoliopsida; Poales; Poaceae.
CCACUUUAAGAAAAAAUGCCCGAACUACCACUUUUCAUCUAAUUUUUGGCAAAAAACUACCAAGCCAGAGAAGUGGUCGAUUGAGCUCGUUUAAGCUGGAUUAUGACAGAUUGCAAAUGAGGUCCACACGUCAACCUUCUUCUUCCAUCUCUUUCUAUUCUCCCAUCUUGUUCAUGACAUCAAACAUGUCAGCUCUAGCAAGUGGCCGACAAUGCUGACAUAACCAUGUAUCUUCUGGAAUGCAUUAUUGACAGGAAUUCUUCUUGGCACUCUAGAGAACUAUCCUCUCAUUACAUUUACUAAAUAUUCAACCUGAUUAAAAGGCUAACCAAUUUCAACGUGAAAGGUGGAACCAUGAGCCAUUAUUCUACAACUACAAUGAAGAUUACGAAAGACAUUAUUUAUAAUUAAUUGCACUAGUGAUUAAACAUAUUUAUUUUUUAAGUGCGCUCCCACUCAAAUUAAUAGCUCUCAUAAUUGAUUUUGAGUGAUUCAAGACCCUCAUCUUAUUUACAGCCAUUGAUAUGUGCAUCACUGAUGACAUAAACUUCAACCGGUAGGCCAACUCGCCGAUCAUAUUUUCAUAUGACUCUUGUUCAUUUUUUGAUGCUUUGUAUUUCGAGCUCAGGACUAUCCUGCUAGAACUUUAAGACAACCGUGGGUUCCUGCUGUGAGGUCCGACCUUCAUUCACCCACCUUACACCUUAAGAUUCGUUCGUACUCAUGUGUACAUGUCGUAUCUCGAAAAGCUACGUGUUGUAGACGAUGCUACACUAGGAAGAUCACUAACAAUUUGAUAUUUUAGUGAGAGAUAACCAUAAUAAAACACAACCACCUUGCAAUCAAAAGGGUGCAAUGAUAAAGGGAUAAACAUUUGAGGCAAUUUAAAAUAGCAUGAUAUGGUAUAGCCCCUCGCGCUGUGAAGUAUUCAUUGUCCUCAUGAACUUUCAUCCAAAAAACGUUGUCGUGUCAGUAGAAAAGUCGUUGUCGUGUCAGUCGGUUUAAAAACAUAGCAGUGAUAGCAAUUCCAAAAAUCGUUGUCGUGGCACCAAAAUUUCAGCCGUCCUCCUUGCACUGUACGCGUCGGAGUCCUCCGUGCAAGCUUGCCACCAACGAUAGUAACAUGUAUGCUCUCUCUGUAACUAUUCUAUUACGUUAAGUUUUGACAUGCAGGUCACUAAAGUGAUAAUCCAGUGGCUCCAGCCAUCACGCCGUACUGUGACGCACAUGUCACUUAAACAUUAUAUCACAUAACCAUCUCAUACAUAAACUCAUUAUCCGGACGGAAGCUAUACCACUUCACACGCAUCCUGCAAAAUCAAAUUAGAUGUCCUCUAAUUGAUUUGGCAAAUUUUAGUUUACGUGGCUUCUAGGGUUUUAGAUAACACUAGCCACCUAUGUCUUAUUGCUAGAUUAACUUUGCGGAGUAUUUGUGGGACGAGACUUAGUUAAAAAUCUCUAUCCCCACACUAAUCUUUGUCAAUACGCGUGAUCCCGUGCAGAUCAUCAUCUACAUGCCACCUCGUGUUUGCGAGAAUUCACUAUUCUUGACUAUGAGGUUGUCCAAAUAACUGGUAGCAAAUCGUUGACAGCCAAAGUCAAUCGAUUGUCAGAACUUUGUAGAAAGCUAUAUCAUGCCUCUAAUGAACGAAGCCGAAGUAACACUUGAGGGAAGAAAACAAGAACAUCAAGUAAAAGAUUGUGUCUAAGAUAAUAGAUUUAUCUUCUACUCGCACAAUUUUAUUAAGCUCUAUAACUCAUCUAGUUCCUAAUUCUUUUUAGCAAUAAAUGAAAUUCAUCACUAAAAACUUUGUGCAAUACCCUCAUAAUCACAUGUGAUCUAGAUUGUAACCUGCAUGUACUCAUAGAAUUGCUCAUGAUGUCACUGUUUUGAACUACAGUAGAAAACAAAAGAAAAAUAGCCCUACGAUCAAGGUCCCGGAUCACUAUGAAGAUGCAUAUAAGGUUAGAUCGGAUCUUUACCAACUUCGAGAUGCAGAGGAAGAAGAGUUGGUGUAGGUUGUUCUUGAUGUCCCUUGAACAGUCCACAACAACCACUCGAACAAAAGAUCAAAAGCACAACCUCUCUAUAGAUUGCAAGCAUGCAGACUUCACGAUCCGGAAGUAUUUCACCGUCCAGAACUAAUCGUCGCUGGAGAAUUAGAGGGAGAAGAAGAGAACCACACAGUGAUACUCUAUUAUGAGGAUUAGAGAGAACUAGGUUUAGCUCUAAUCUAGAUCAACCUUAAAUUAGAACUAGAACUAGAGAAUUUCAGGAGGCUCCAAAACUUGUAUCUCCAAAGGCCAAAAUCCUCUAAUAUAUAUAGGUUGAAGGGAGAGGAAGGGGGUGGCUGACUUGGCUUGCGCAGGCCUAGGGGGUAGUGGAGUCCAACUCCACAUCCUAGUCCGACCUCCCUCUCGGGUGCCUCCACUAAUGGGCCUUAAUCCCAUUAACUCUACCCCUAAUAAUCAUUUUUCUUAUUUUCUUUAGCC